This 546-nucleotide long non-coding RNA is filed under the name Numida meleagris (helmeted guineafowl). RNAcentral's name for it is "lncRNA (ENSNMEG00000021600.1)". Lineage: Eukaryota; Metazoa; Chordata; Aves; Galliformes; Numididae. The record is from RNAcentral.
AUAGCACUUUCGUGUGUAAGCCGAAUUCUCAGGGAAGGAAGGCACAGUGUCAUUCUUGAUUCUAACUGUGUUGUAAAUAGGGAUAGAAAAACCUGUGAAGGUCCUUCACAUCUUCAACCACUUUCUCCUGAGUUAGCAAAUCCAUCUAAGACGAUGCAGAGGUUUCUGUGGACGGAGCCUCAGUUCACCCUUGGGUUUAAGUGGCAGUUGAAACAUAAUAGCAGUUUAACCACCAGCCCCAGUCUCAUUUGUGCUUUCCGAACUGGGGUUUGCCUACCUAUUCAUCGCUGUGUCCUCGUACGCCCUCCCUAGCUGUGCCUCUUGGGCCUUUACUUGGCAUUGAUAUUACAGAGAUCUGGAACUUUUCUUUAAAGUUCUUAUUCCUAAGGUUAGUUACCAAGAUUCAUGCACAUGGUUCCGGGAUAACUUCUUCUACGCGACUGAGAAUGAAAAAGCAAUGUGAAGAGAGCAACGGCUUUUCUGUGUAUGAAUGGCCUGAGCACAGGAAGCCUUGCAGAUGCAGCUCCACAGCUUGCUGUCCCUGAG